RNAcentral lists this ribosomal RNA (135 nucleotides) under uncultured bacterium. RNAcentral describes it as "partial 16S ribosomal RNA". It matches the Rfam family "Bacterial small subunit ribosomal RNA", at positions 1367 to 1501 of the family's 1533-position model. The record is from RNAcentral.
UACGUUCCCGGGUCUUGUACACACCGCCCGUCACACCAUGGGAGCGGGUUUUACCAGAAGUAGGUAGCCUAACCGUAAGGAGGGCGCUUACCACGGUAGGAUUCGUGACUGGGGUGAAGUCGUAACAAGGUACCC